Molecule: RNA transcript, 1683 nt
Organism: Triticum urartu
Lineage: Eukaryota; Viridiplantae; Streptophyta; Magnoliopsida; Poales; Poaceae
Source: RefSeq, a predicted model, not a curated record
AGAUUGCAUGAGGCAAGAAGAUUGAACACAUCACAACUUUUUUAAUAUGCUUUACAGCAAGUACAUAGAUUAAAAUGCAGACCAAACAAAGGCUGUAGACUUAAAACUGCAACCGCAAGUGUUAGAGACUGAAUGACAAUUUCAGAAAUCUGGGUACUAAAACAUGCAGUUUAGUAAAUCCCAGUUAAGUCUUACUGGAUCUGAAACUGCAGGGGCAAGAUAUGAUUAUCUCUAAAUACAUGGUUGAAUUGAAUAAAUUCCAAAGAAGAUAAGAUCCCCAAUUUCUUAUCCCAUGCGAGCGUCGUGGCCAUGGUAACUGCUGCCGCUGUGCAGUGCGGGCAGACCGAUGGUUGCGCCACCGCGUUUUGCGCCUCGUGGGCUGCCUCUGCCCGGGCUGAGGACCGCACUGCCGCACGCCGGCCGAUGGCCGCCGCCGCGGAGCCGCGAGACACCGUGUUUGCUGCCGGGCGUUGCCAUGCCGGGCACCGGCCGUUGGCCGCUGCCGCCGCUGUGUGUUACGCGCCUGGCCGCCUCAUCGAAAAAGAUGCAGGCCCGGAGUGCAUCCUCGGCCACGCCGGGGCCGUGGUCCAUGGCCGCCUCGGGGUGCAGCGCUGGGAGCAGCCGGGCCGAAGGAUGUCGCCGCUCCGCGAGGAGCCUAGCCGAGGUAAACGUCGACCGGGCCAUGGGUUGCUGCCGAAGUUUGCUUUGGACGGCAUUAAAAACGAUGCACUAGAGGUUAGUAUAACGAAAUCGGAAUUGAAUCACCUGAUUGAUGUAUGAUGCAGAGUUGGUCUUUGCAUUAUUGUCGUUUUGUACGAGAUGUGUCACAGGGAUCUUGUAUGUUUUCUUCUGAUCCCCUUGCCGUUCUGCUGUUCUUGACCUUUCUCUGAAUUUUGUGCUUUCUUUCUCUUUGCAUCUGGUUUCUUUCCUGAUCGAGAGACUCGCAGCGCCUGCGCCUGUGCCGCGAACGCCUCGGGCUGAUGCGGGAGGUCGAGGCCACGCGACCACGCGCCGUCUGGAGACCUGCGCCGCCGUGCCGCUCUGCAGGGUGAGGCGUGCUCGCACCACGCGCCGGAGGGCAUGGGCUGCCGCCGGGGACAACGAGAUGCGUCAAGGAACGCUGGGCAUCUGGUCGUGUCGGAGAAACCUUGCUGCCUCUCGGGCAUCAAGGACGUCGCCGGUGACGGAUUGAUGUGGGUGGCCUAAUCGCUAGCUCCAGAUAUUUCCGAGCUGAUUCGUGCGCGCGUGCGUCUGCGGGUGCUUGUUGCAGGUAGCUUGAAAGGACCCCCUAGUCGGUCACGCACUCGGCCGCCAUUUCAGCCUGAAGGUACAGUGCCAAAGCCACUGAUUCAGGCCAGAGAUGGAUGGACACCUGGAUCAACGCAUGCCCGCCCUAUCAGGUCCGGUGUGUUGUUGACGUCGAUCGGUCGGCGGCGGCCUUGAUGGCCUAACCAAAUUGGCGACUGUUUAUUGGGGCAUCCACUCCAUCUCCACCGGAGGCAGCAAAAACGACAUGCCUCUUCAGAUUGUGAUCAUGAGCAAAAGCUUUUUUAAGUGGAUGUCAAACGCGCAGGAUUUCAUAUAAAAUUAGUUGUCUUUGUCUGAAAAUUUCAGAGUGCGUGUGCGUCUCUAGCUAAGCUUGGACCAUACGUGUUCGUGGAGAAGAAAUAUCUGGUUCUGUUU